Molecule: long non-coding RNA, 334 nt
Organism: Corvus hawaiiensis (hawaiian crow)
Lineage: Eukaryota; Metazoa; Chordata; Aves; Passeriformes; Corvidae
Exons: 5
Source: RefSeq, a predicted model, not a curated record
CGUGGCCCUGCUCUUCUCCAUCCUGCUGUGCCUCCCGGCACAGGCCAAGGCACUCCUGGAAGGAACCCAAGAUGAUCUCCAGGAGGUGGAUGUAGUCAAUGUCGACAUCCUGAAGACACCUCAGCCUGCUCUGUGUAAAAAGCUGGAGGCUCUUCUGCGGGUGAAGCGCCUGGCUGCCUCUCUGGAUGCCUAGGAUUGCAAGUUGUGGGGACAACCGUGUCCUUUUCCCUACUAGUGGAAUGAGGAGAUGAUCAUCCCUGGAGGAAUCCCCUGAACCCUUUGAGCCCAGGGCCAUUUGCCCCUGACUAAUCAAUACACCCUUUUGGCAAAGCUA